UGGGUGAGGAAGGAAGCCAGGUUUUCUGUG
Molecule: non-coding RNA, 30 nt
Filed under: Homo sapiens (human)
Lineage: Eukaryota; Metazoa; Chordata; Mammalia; Primates; Hominidae
Source: RNAcentral